Molecule: ribosomal RNA, 468 nt
Filed under: uncultured bacterium
Lineage: Bacteria
Description: partial 16S ribosomal RNA
Rfam family: Bacterial small subunit ribosomal RNA
Source: RNAcentral
GACGAACGCUGGCGGCGUGCUUAACACAUGCAAGUCGAACGGAAAGGCCCUGCUUUUGUGGGGUGCUCGAGUGGCGAACGGGUGAGUAACACGUGAGUAACCUGCCCUUGACUUUGGGAUAACUUCAGGAAACUGGGGCUAAUACCGGAUAGGAGCUCCUGCUGCAUGGUGGGGGUUGGAAAGUUUCGGCGGUUGGGGAUGGACUCGCGGCUUAUCAGCUUGUUGGUGGGGUAGUGGCUUACCAAGGCUUUGACGGGUAGCCGGCCUGGGAGGGUGACCGGCCACAUUGGGACUGAGGUACGGACCAGACUCCUACGGGAGGCAGCAGUGGGGAAUAUUGCACAAUGGGCGGAAGCCUGAUGCAGCAACGCCGCGUGCGGGAUGACGGCCUUCGGGUUGUAAACCGCUUUCGCCUGUGACGAAGCGUGAGUGACGGUAAUGGAUAAAGAAGCACCGGCUAACUACGUG